GCAUAUCAAUAAGCGGAGGAAAAGAAACUAACAAGGAUUCCCCUAGUAACUGCGAGUGAACCGGGAAAAGCUCAAAUUUAAAAUCUGGCAGCCUUGGCUGUCCGAGUUGUAAUCUGGAGAAGCGUCUUCCGCGCUGGACCGUGUACAAGUCUCCUGGAACGGAGCGUCAUAGAGGGUGAGAAUCCCGUCUUUGACACGGACUACCAGUGCUCUGUGAUGCGCUCUCAAAGAGUCGAGUUGUUUGGGAAUGCAGCUCAAAAUGGGUGGUAAACUCCAUCUAAAGCUAAAUAUUGGCGAGAGACCGAUAGCGAACAAGUACCGUGAGGGAAAGAUGAAAAGCACUUUGGAAAGAGAGUUAAACAGUACGUGAAAUUGCUGAAAGGGAAACGCUUGAAGUCAGUCGCGUUUGCUAGGACUCAGCCUUGCCUCGGCUUGGUGCAUUUCCUAGUAGACGGGCCAGCAUCACUUUUGACUGCGGGAGAAAGGUUGGAGGAAUGUGGCACCCUCGGGUGUGUUAUAGCCUCUAGCUGUAUGCCGUGGUUGGGAGUGAGGAACUCAGCACGCCGCAAGGCGGGGCUUCGGCCACCUUCGUGCUUAGGAUGCUGGCGUAAUGGCUUUAAACGACCCGUCUUGAAACACGGACCAAGGAGUCUAACAUGCCUGCGAGUGUUUGGGUGGAAAACCCGAGCGCGUAAUGAAAGUGAAAGUUGGGACCUCUGUCGUGGAGGGCACCGACGCCCGGACCAGACCUUCUGUGACGGAUCCGCGGUAGAGCAUGUAUGUUGGGACCCGAAAGAUGGUGAACUAUGCCUGAAUAGGGUGAAGCCAGAGGAAACUCUGGUGGAGGCUCGUAGCGAUUCUGACGUGCAAAUCGAUCGUCAAAUUUGGGUAUAGGGGCGAAAGACUAAUCGAACCAUCUAGUAGCU
RNAcentral lists this ribosomal RNA (926 nucleotides) under Phanerochaete sordida. Its description in RNAcentral is "LSU rRNA". It matches the Rfam family "Eukaryotic large subunit ribosomal RNA", at positions 38 to 952 of the family's 3401-position model. Lineage: Eukaryota; Fungi; Basidiomycota; Agaricomycetes; Polyporales; Phanerochaetaceae. The record is from RNAcentral.